Molecule: long non-coding RNA, 929 nt
Organism: Sceloporus undulatus (fence lizard)
Lineage: Eukaryota; Metazoa; Chordata; Lepidosauria; Squamata; Phrynosomatidae
Exons: 2
Source: RefSeq, a predicted model, not a curated record
GAAGGAGAAGCGAUGGCAGCAGCGACGGGGCGGCGGGUGCUCCGAUCUCUUGCCUGGCUCCGGUGCUUCCUUGGGCCUCGGAUCGCGGGGGGAGGAAGAGCAGGGAGGACGGGGAAAAGAGAUCCCUCCAAAGCCCCUGGAACCUCGGACGACGCCUCCGGAAGAGUUGGCCUCCGCUUCUUCGCUCCGGGAUCAUCGGAAACCCUGACCCAGGUGGAUCUCCUCUGAGGUGGAUCUCUCCGCAAGCAGCCGGGCGAUCCUCUCCUUGGAUCGACUGCCAGGGGAACCGGGCGUCGGGGGAACUCUGAAACUCAUUCCCAAAAAGAAAGAGGAAGCUAACAGAACCGCGUUUGGUGGAAGAUCCGAAAAUACAUGGAUGCAGCACUCACCUUUGUCUAUUGUGGCUGCAUCCGCACGGGAGAAAUAAUCCAAUUUGACACUGCUUUAACCGGUACCACAACAAACUACAAAUCCCAGAAUUCCAUAGCUUCGCACCGUGGCAGUCAAAGCAGUGCCAAAUCGGAUUAUUUCUCCCGUGCGGAUGCAGCCUGUGUUAAGGAAUGACGCUUGCCUGUUUCAUUUAAGCACUUGGGGUCUCAUACCGGGAGUUUCUGUUCUGUUUUCUCUUACUUUGUUUCAGGCGAUGUGAGCUUUGUUUCGGUUUGAUUCCAGUUCAAAAUGGUGUGGACAGCAGCAACCCAACGCAGCCCUCUCUUUAGAACCAAGUUUGGGAUUUUCCACCUUCCUCUCCUCUCUUUUUCUUUGCGGCUGCAUUUUAAAUGCACGCAGGACGAACAUUUCUUUUUCCUCCUGCGACAUUUUGCGGGUGUCUACUCUGUGUAGAGUUUAUGUACAAUACUACUCCAGGUCGCCUGCUUUUCUGUCUUUCUGUCCAGCUUCUGACACUCAAUAUUAAAAUAUGCAAACAA